UAUGAUAAUAGCAGUAUAUACUGUAUAUAUAGUUGUUACAUUUGGUAAUAAUAGCAUACGGUAUCCAGUUUUUGUCCUUCUCGUUUUAUUUCUGAGUCAGCAGUUUUGUUAGCAUAUCUAUUACGCAAAACAUUAUUUCUAAACGAGAAAAAGUGCGUUCAUCAUAUUAAUCUACAACUACGCUUGAAUUUUAAAAAAUAACAUUAAAAUAAAAGGUGAUCGUGAAAAAUCAGAAAUAAUUGCUUAAAAUGGCUAAUAUGAAAUAUAUCAUUUUACUUUCCUGUAUAAUGCUGCUUCUGUUACCCAGAGACAGUGUAGGUGCUAAAGGUAAAGUAGCUGUAGAUGCUAAAGGUAAAGUAGCUGUAGGUGAUAAAGAUAAAGCAGCUAUAGAUAUAUCAUCAAAUAACAGGAAUUUCAGGAAUCAGGUCCUGAAAUAACAGAAACAUCGACAAAUAAUAUGUAAAAUUAUAUCCAAAUAUAUUUCUAUACAUUUACAAUAAAAGAUGCACCGAUGAUCAAGACUUAUCUUUUGGAAAUAGGGAAGAAUGAACGUGCCAUCAACUCAAGAAAUACAAGAUGUAUCCAGCUUCCUUUCAAUUUAAGCUGCAUUUAAUUUACAAUCAACAUAAGCUUACAAAUAUUAAAAUAGAAAAAUAUUAAAAUAUGUGAAAAGUUUAUAAUUAUUAAUUGAAAAUUUUUACAAUAUAAUGUUUGCUUCUAUAAUUAAAUGAUAUCUGAUCUUAUUAGCUUUACUUGGUGGUGGUUUAUCAAUUCUUUAACUUUAGAGCUUGGAUUGCAAUUGUAAAAAC
This is a long non-coding RNA of Formica exsecta, 809 nucleotides long. RefSeq lists it as uncharacterized. The record is from RefSeq and is a predicted model, not a curated record. Lineage: Eukaryota; Metazoa; Arthropoda; Insecta; Hymenoptera; Formicidae. The transcript has 2 exons.